AUAGAUCCUGAAACCGCAUGCUUACAAAAAGUAGGAGCCUCGAAAGGGGUGACUGCGUACCUUUUGUAUAAUGGGUCAGCGACUUACAUUCAGUGGCAAGGUUAACCGAAUAGGGAAGCCGUAGAGAAAUCGAGUCCGAAUAGGGCGAUCAGUCGCUGGGUGUAGACCCGAAACCAAGUGAUCUAUCCAUGGGCAGGAUGAAGGUGCCGUAACAGGUACUGGAGGUCCGAACCGACUAAUGUUGCAAAAUUAGCGGAUGACCUGUGGAUAGGGGUGAAAGGCUAAACAAACUUGGAAAUAGCUGGUUCUCUCCGAAAACUAUUUAGGUAGUGCCUCAAGUAUUACCAUCGGGGGUAGAGCACUGUUUUGGCUAGGGGGUCAUGGCGACUUACCAAACCAAGGCAAACUCCGAAUACCGAUGAGUACAGCUUGGGAGACAGAGCACCGGGUGCUAACGUCCGGACUCAAGAGGGAAACAACCCAGACCGCCAGCUAAGGUCCCUAAAAUUGGCUAAGUGGGAAACGAAGUGGGAAGGCUAAAACAGUCAGGAUGUUGGCUUAGAAGCAGCCAUCAUUUAAAGAAAGCGUAAUAGCUCACUGAUCGAGUCGUCCUGCGCGGAAGAUGUAACGGGGCUAAGCCAGUUACCGAAGCUGCGGAUUUGCAAUUUAUUGCAAGUGGUAGGAGAGCGUUCUGUAGGCCUGUGAAGGUGGUGGUGUAAACCCUGCUGGAGGUAUCAGAAGUGCGAAUGCUGACAUGAGUAGCGUUAAAGGGGGUGAAAAGCCCCCUCGCCGUAAGCGCAAGGUUUUCUACGCAACGUUCAUCGGCGUAGAGUGAGUCGGCCCCUAAGGCGAGGCAGAGAUGCGUAGCUGAUGGGAAACAGGUCAAUAUUCCUGUACCGAUGACAAGUGCGAUGUGGGGACGGAGAAGGUUAGCUCAGCCAACUGUUGGAUAUGUUGGUUCAAGCCUGUAGUCGUGCUCGGUAGGCAAAUCCGCCGGGCUUAGAUGAGGGGUGAUAACGAGGGUGCUUGCACCUGAAGUGAGUGAUACCCUGCUUCCAGGAAAAGCCACUAAGCUUCAGCUUGUCAUUGACCGUACCGCAAACCGACACUGGUGCGCGAGAUGAGUAUUCUAAGGCGCUUGAGAGAACUCAGGAGAAGGAACUCGGCAAAUUGAUACCGUAACUUCGGGAGAAGGUAUGCCCCAAGUAGGUGAACUCGAACAGAGGGAGCCCAACGGGGUUGCAAAAAAUCGGUGGCUGCGACUGUUUAAUAAAAACACAGCACUCUGCAAACACGAAAGUGGACGUAUAGGGUGUGACGCCUGCCCGGUGCUGGAAGAUUAAAUGAUGGGGUGCAAGCUCUUGAUUGAAGUCCCAGUAAACGGCGGCCGUAACUAUAACGGUCCUAAGGUAGCGAAAUUCCUUGUCGGGUAAGUUCCGACCUGCACGAAUGGCGUAACGAUGGCCACACUGUCUCCUCCUGAGACUCAGCGAAGUUGAAAUGUUUGUGAUGAUGCAAUCUCCCCGCGGAAAGACGGAAAGACCCCAUGAACCUUUACUGUAGCUUUGUAUUGGACUUUGAACAGAUCUGUGUAGGAUAGGUGGGAGGCUUUGAAGCGAGGUCGCUAGAUCUUGUGGAGCCGACGUUGAAAUACCACCCUGGUGUGUUUGAGGUUCUAACCUAGGUCCAUUAUCUGGAUCGGGGACAGUGCAUGGUAGGCAGUUUGACUGGGGCGGUCUCCUCCCAAAGCGUAACGGAGGAGUUCGAAGGUACGCUAGUUACGGUCGGACAUCGUGAUAAUAGUGCAAUGGCAUAAGCGUGCUUAACUGCGAGACUGACAAGUCGAGCAGAUACGAAAGUAGGACAUAGUGAUCCGGUGGUUCUGUAUGGAAGGGCCAUCGCUCAACGGAUAAAAGGUACUCUGGGGAUAACAGGCUGAUACCGCCCAAGAGUUCAUAUCGACGGCGGUGUUUGGCACCUCGAUGUCGGCUCAUCUCAUCCUGGGGCUGUAGCCGGUCCCAAGGGUAUGGCUGUUCGCCAUUUAAAGAGGUACGUGAGCUGGGUUUAAAACGUCGUGAGACAGUUUGGUCCCUAUCUUCCGUGGGCGCUG
This 2110-nucleotide ribosomal RNA is filed under the name Limnohabitans sp. G3-2. RNAcentral describes it as "bacterial LSU rRNA". It matches the Rfam family "Bacterial large subunit ribosomal RNA", at positions 543 to 2656 of the family's 2925-position model. The record is from RNAcentral. Lineage: Bacteria; Pseudomonadati; Pseudomonadota; Betaproteobacteria; Burkholderiales; Comamonadaceae.